AUUGAACGCUGGCGGAAUGCUUUACACAUGCAAGUCGAACGGCAGCACGGACUUCGGUCUGGUGGCGAGUGGCGAACGGGCGAGUAAUGUAUCGGAACGUGCCCAGUCGUGGGGGAUAACGUAGUGAAAAUUACGCUAAUACCGCAUACGAUCUAUGGAUGAAAGCGGGGGAUCGCAAGACCUCGCGCGAUUGGAGCGGCCGAUAUCAGAUCAGGUAGUUGGUGGGGUAAAGGCCCACCAAGCCAACGAUCUGUAGCUGGUCUGAGAGGACGACCAGCCACACUGGAACUGAGACACUGUCCAGACACCUACGGGAGGCAGCAGUGGGGAAUUUUGGACAAUGGGCGAAAGCCUGAUCCAGCCAUUCCGCGUGCAGGAUGAAGGCCCUCGGGUUGUAAACUGCUUUUGUACAGAACGAAAAGGUUUCUACUAAUACUAGGAGCUCAUGACGGUACUGUAAGAAUAAGCACCGGCUAACUACGUGCCAGCCGCCGCCGUAA
RNAcentral lists this ribosomal RNA (500 nucleotides) under uncultured bacterium. RNAcentral describes it as "partial 16S ribosomal RNA". It matches the Rfam family "Bacterial small subunit ribosomal RNA", at positions 30 to 523 of the family's 1533-position model. The record is from RNAcentral.